GGGCACGUGGACACCCGGCUCCUCUGUGCCCUGCCGCUCAGGCUCCCAGCCACGCAGGGGAGGCGGCCAGGGCUGGGGGGUCCUGGCUCCGACCUGGCAUGUCUGCACAGAUGUGGACCAGGGUCUCAGCACGCCAGGCUUCUGCUCCAGGGGCAGCUGCACCAACACAGCCGGGAGCUACGUGUGCCUCUGCCCCUGUGGGUUUGCCAGCAGCCUGGACAGCAGCCGCUGCCUGGACCAGCGGGCUGGCACCUGCUUCUGGGUGCUGGUUGGAGGCCGCUGUGCCAAGGACCUCACCGGCCACGACACUGGGAGGCAAUGCUGCUGUGACAAGAGCAGGUGCUGGACGGCUGGCCCGGGCCCGAGCUGGACCCACGCGCCGCUCCCUACCCCCUCCGCCUCCCACAGACAUCGCUGAGUGCCGGACGCCCGGCGCCUGCGCGAACGGCCACUGCCCCGGGAGGGGGUGGGGGUGGGGCUGGCGGGGGGCGCGGACGGCCGCGGGUGCCUGGACACCCACGUGCGCAGCGCGUGCUACGGGACCGAGAAGGGCUCCUGCGCGCGCCCCUCCCCUGGCGCCGUCACCAGAUCCGAGUGUUGCUGUGCUAGCCCCGACCGCGGGUUCGGGGGGCCCUGCCAGCUGUGUCCAGCCAGGAGCUCAGGCGAGUUCUGGUCCCUGUGUAGCCGUGGUCUAGGCGUCCCCGCAGAGGUCAGAGGUUUGAAUUCCCGCGCACCUGUUUACUGACGGAAUACUCUCGGGCAAGGUGCCCACCCUCCGUGCCUCAGUCUCCUGGCCUCAAAGGGGAAAUAGUAAUAGGAGCCACUUCAGGAGUGCUGUGAGGAUUCAGGGAGUGGAGGGGAUCGGUACAGGAUGGUAAGCCCCCAUCACGUAGUGAUCGUGAUUCAUGCAGCUGCUGCCCAGUGUCCAGGGAGUUCCAAAGUGGGGACAUUUCUGCCCCCCAGGUGCAUUUGACAGUCCCUGCAGAAAUGCCAGGGAGGGUGCUGCUGGCACCUCCUGGGUGGAGGCCGGGGAAGCUGCCCAGGAGCAUUGUGCAUCCCCUGUGCACAGGACCCCCCACCCCACCCCAGCAAAGAAUGAUCUGGCCCCAAACAUCCGCAAUACUGAGAAACCCUGAAUGUGAGGGAGGUGGGGCAGCGUCUGGGCUGGAGCUCUGGCCCUGGAGGGCCUUGGUUUCUGGAGGUUCCCCGGUGAGCCGGAGUGGCCGCUGACACCCUCCCCCGGCUGCAGACAUCAACGAGUGUGCCCUGGACCCUGACAGCGGUGCCAAAGGCAUGUGCGAGAACAACUGGGGUGGCUACCGCUUCAUCUGCAGCCUGGGCUAUGAGGCAGCCAUGGCCGGUGGAGGGAACAGGGGUGAGAGAGCCCAGCGCUGGCAGGCAGGUGGUGGUCUGUGAGCUGGGACGUCCUGUUAAUGUGCCUUCUGCCUGCGUACAUGUGUUCUUUGUGGCCCAGCGUGUUCACGGACAUGUGUGCCUGGGUGCACCCCGUGCCGCUGAGCUCCAGUGGCCACCGCGGCUCCCUGCUGGACCAGGAUGGCAGGACCUGCAGAGCCCCUCCCCACUGCACAGCGUCUGACACCACUGCCAGGGUCUCCGGUGCCGGAUGGCCCGCCCUGAGCCCAUUGGGCUGUCUGGGCUGCAGACCUGGACAAGUGCACCUCCCGGCUUCACAACUGCCAGUUCUUCUGCAUCAACCCCAUCGGCGCCUUCACCUGCCGCUGUCCCUCGGCUUCAUCCAGCACCAGCAGGCCUGCUUUGGGAAGCCUGGCCAGCCUUGACGCGGAGGCCCUGCUGACCUGUGGCCUGAACCUGUUGUGCCUGGGCCGUGCUGAGCACGUCCUGGAGCUGCAGCCUGUGCUGGAGAGUCUGGGGCACUGCAUGCGCUACGUCACCGCCUACGGCAAUGAGCGAGGUUUCUCCCACAUGCAUCACUUCCGUGGCCUCAGCUCCCUGCAGCUGAGGCAUCGGAGGCCGGAGCCUGGGGUCUACCAGCUGGAGGUGGUGAACACGGCAGGGCCCUGGGGCACCCGGCUGCAGGGGUGCCGGCUGGGCCGGGGGACGGGGCUUUGUGAUUGAAGGUAAGGCUCCGGCUGGCUGCGGUAGCUGAGAGAAGCCCGUACCUCUGGCCUGGCCCCUCCCGCGACACCCCGCAGGGGCACCGCGCAACCCUACCUCUUCCCAGGGGCUCUGGGGAACCACUGUGCAUGGCAGGGAGAGCCCGGUGUUGAGUCCUGGCCUCAGUGGAUCUCAGGGCCCCCAGGCUGUCCUCUCCAGAGCUGAGGAAUUCUGGAGCCAGAGGCCUGGGUCCCAGUGGCAAAGGCUGACCGGUGGAGCCCCGACGCUCAGGAAGAGUAAAAUGCUACACUCCAGCCACAGGCUGGCCUGGCCUCUGCCCGGGAUUGACCCUCAAGUCCUCCUGGGGUCAGCAGGAAGCUGCAGGCGCACCCUCCACCACCAGCCAGGGCCAAGGCAGGCCCUGCGGCUCACUGCGAAUGCUCCGUCUCUGGGCUUAAAUUUCCUCACCGCAUGAGGCUAGCCCCUCCCAGCAGAGGGGCCCUCUGGGGCCCCAGACAAUUGGCCACACAGUCAUGUUCACACCCCUGCCUAGAGUUCCAAGGAUGCUUUUAUAUGAGAAGCAAGACAGGAAUAAAGUUACUUUGGGUUAAGUCUGCCACCUUGGCAAGUUCGUGAACAGACCUGGACCUUGGGCCAGGCUCACACGCAUGGCAGAGCAGAAAGCCCCAGAAGGACGGAUCGCUUUGGGAAGGAUAAACUUCAGCCCAGGGCUCCGAGGAGAACGCGUGUAGCAAAUCUGCGGGUAAGGUCCAGAGAGAUCCUACGUGCCCUGUGCCCCCUCACACGCACAGCCCCCAGCCCAUCACAGCCCUCCCGAGCCAGAGUGGCGCCUGUGUUCACCACGACGGACCUGCAAAGACACACUGCCAUCACCCAGAGUCCGCGGCUCAUGGGCCUGGCUCUUCGGGCCAGAAACGUGCGCAACAGGGACUCAGAUGGCCUGAGCCUGGGAGGAGCCGAUCGCCUUGGGAAUUUGCUCCACCACUUCUGAAGUAACAGGGACGUGAACCCCAAACUGCUGCUAACCCCAAAUUGGCACAGCUGCCCCAGAAAACAUAAAUGAAGCUUCCUGGUUUUCCAUUCAGCUGACCUACCUGGCACUUGAUGGAACUGUUGGGCCCCCAAAGAGCACCCAUGCCAGAAGGUCUUUUGGGCUUGCUCAGGCUGCCCAGCCUCUGCUGUCAGAGUGAACGUUCUGCUUUGAUGCUGCGGCUCUGCUUGGGAGCUGACCGGUGACUGGCUCGCCUGAUGCUUACACCCCUUUAUUUUGUUCCCAAAACAUCCCCCACCUGCAGCCAAGCCCUGGGUGUGGUUACACGUCACAGCCUCUCUCCCCAUCACUGUGCCUAGUCAAUCGCGCCACCUUCUCCAGGUGACAGGCAGCCCGCCUGCACGGGUCCCAUCCCCAGAACUGGAUUCCCCCUCUCCCUUCCCUAACCCACACCUGCUUUGAUGACACCCUGGGUGCCUGACGUCUCCCUCCUUUGAAGUGUGUAUACCACCCCUGAUUCCCUUCCUUCAAAUAAAUAAAUAAGGGAGCACAGAAUCCCCUAAGUCUCACACUUACAAUUCCCUUUGGCUAAACGACAAAUUCUUUUGGGUGUGCUGUGUCCACGGCAGGUGUAUGAGUUCCACACGGCAGGUGGCUGCUGU
This is a non-coding RNA of Manis javanica (Malayan pangolin), 3750 nucleotides long. The record is from RefSeq and is a predicted model, not a curated record. Lineage: Eukaryota; Metazoa; Chordata; Mammalia; Pholidota; Manidae.